Molecule: ribosomal RNA, 254 nt
Filed under: uncultured bacterium
Lineage: Bacteria
Description: partial 16S ribosomal RNA
Rfam family: Bacterial small subunit ribosomal RNA
Source: RNAcentral
UACGUAGGGGGCGAGCGUUGCCCGGAAUUAUUGGGCGUAAAGAGCGUGUAGGCGGUUCGGUAAGUCUGCCGUGAAAACCUGAGGCUCAACCUCGGGCGUGCGGUGGAUACUGCCGGGCUAGAGGACGGUAGAGGCGAGUGGAAUUCCCGGUGUAGCGGUGAAAUGCGCAGAUAUCGGGAGGAACACCAGUAGCGAAGGCGGCUCGCUGGGCCGUUCCGUGACGCUGAGACGCGAAAGCUAGGGGAGCGAACAGG